CGUUUGUCUUUGCAGCGGUCACUUCCAAGGGAAAGCAUCCAGGCAGAAUUUCCCAGGAGGGGCCUCGAUGGGAGGAGGGGGGCAUUCAGGGGGGCAUUCAGAUGCAGAAGGGUUAAGGGCCCCUCGGACCCAUCCUCCCACCGGGGUGGGAACCGGUCACCCCCUCCCGUCGCGCAGCGCAGAUCUGCCCAUUCCCCUUGUUUUAGGAGAGGAGAGCUCGGCCGGGGCGGGGAGGGGCCGGCUAGGCCGGGCGGCGGCGGGAGGAGGCCCCCGGGGUUUUUAAGCCAGAAAGCCGGGGACGGCAGCCGGGCGGGGGGGGGGGCGCCCCUAGGCCUUGGCACCCAGAAGGGCUCUCCGAGGCUUUCCCGAGAGUCCGCCUGCAGAACGGGGGCGGCCGGCACCUGGGGAAGCUCUCCCGGCGCGGGGCGGGGCGCGGGGCGCGGGGCGCGGGGCGGGGGGCGCAGCCCUGAGCCUCGCCCAGAAGCGAGUUCGGGUUCCGGGCCGGGGGCUCGCCCCAAGCCGCGGCCCCGAGCCCCUCCCGAAAGCCGGUUCCCGAGCGAGUGGGGCUUCAGGCGCAGGGCCGCGGCCUCGCGCUCCCGAGGGCCCCCGCGCCCCGACCCCGGCGUCCCCGCGGGUGGGCGUCCCCGGGCGGCCCGAGGGCGGGGAUCCCGCGGGGCGCGGGCGCGGCGGUGCCGGGGGCUGGCGGGACGCGGCCCCGGGGGGCGGCUUCUGCGGCUCGGCGGCUCGGGGCGGGGCCGGGGCCGGGGUCGGGGCCGGGGUCGGGGCCGGGGUCGGGGCCGGGGUCGGGGCGCCCUCCCAGCCGCCCCCGUGCGCGAGCCGGGCCGUCCAGGCUUCCCCGCCGGCCACGCGUCCGGGUCCCGCCGCCGCCCGGGUCCCGCCCCGACGCCGCCCCCCGCCCCCCGCCCCCCGCCCGGGGGCCCCAGGCAGACGGGCGCUCCCCGGACUUACCCCGCGGGGCCCCCGCGCGCGGCCGCCCCGGCCCGUCGGAUCAUGCCGCCGGCUCCGGCCGCUGCUCGGGGGCUCGGGCCGCUGCUCGGGGGGCUCCGGCCGCUGCUCGGGGGCUCGCACCGCUGCUCGGGGGCUCAGGCGGCUGCUCGGGGGGCUCGGGCCGCUGCUCGGGGGCUCGCGCCGCUGCUCGGGGGCUCCGGCCGCUGCUCGGGGGCUCGCGCCGCUGCUCGGGGGCUCGGCCGCUGCUGGGGGGCUCGGGCCGCUGCUGGGGGGCUCGCACCGCUGCUCGGGGGCUCAGGCGGCUGCUCGGGGGGGUCGGGCCGCUGCUCCGGGGCUCGCACCGCUGCUCGGGGGCUCCGGCCGCUGCUCGGGGGCUCGCGCCGCUGCUCGGGGGCUCCGGCCGCUGCUGGGGGGCUCGGGCCGCUGCUGGGGGGCUCGCACCGCUGCUCGGGGGCUCCGGCCGCUGCUCGGGGGCUCAGGCGGCGGGCGGCGCGGGCCGCCGUGUCCCGGGCGCCCGCAUGGCCCCGCCGGGCCCUCGCAAGGGCCGCCCCGCCGCCGAGUGGGAGCCGCCGCCGCGCCCCGGGCCUCGCUCGCUUCCACUUCCUGUAUCGGGGCGAGCGGGGCUUUCAGGAAGAGGCUGGCCUUGGUGGUCAAGGGCUGUCUGCGGACGCGGCGGCCGAGCCCCAGCCCAGCCCGAGCCGGGCACACGGAAGCCCGCGAGCCUGCAGGCGGGGCGGGGAGGGGGGGGCGCCGGAGGCUCCCGCAGCCAGGUGCCCAGAGGGAAACUCAGGGAAAGUCUCCCACCCUCCUAGGGGGAAGAGCCCGAGGGCGGGAAGGCGCCGAGGGCUGCACCCACUGGCGGGUGGGGAAGCGAGAGCCACGAGCCUCAGCCUCGCCUCCUGCCUCAAGGAGCCCAGCACUCAGCCAGGGGCAGCCCCAGACCAGAGGCAGGCGGCCGCCUCCACAUCCCUGACAGGUGACCUUGCAUGCCUCCGCUAA
This 1968-nucleotide long non-coding RNA is filed under the name Canis lupus familiaris (dog). RNAcentral describes it as "lncRNA (ENSCAFG00000055042.1)". The record is from RNAcentral. Lineage: Eukaryota; Metazoa; Chordata; Mammalia; Carnivora; Canidae.